AUGGACGCUGGCGGCGUGCUUCACACAUGCAAGUCGAACGAAGCACUUUAUUUGAUUUCCUUCGGGACUGAUUAUUUUGUGACUGAGUGGCGGACGGGUGAGUAACGCGUGGGUAACCUGCCUUGUACAGGGGGAUAACAGUUGGAAACGGCUGCUAAUACCGCAUAAGCGCACAGCAUCGCAUGAUGCAGUGUGAAAAACUCCGGUGGUAUAAGAUGGACCCGCGUUGGAUUAGCUAGUUGGUGAGGUAACGGCCCACCAAGGCGACGAUCCAUAGCCGACCUGAGAGGGUGACCGGCCACAUUGGGACUGAGACACGGCCCAAACUCCUACGGGAGGCAGCAGUGGGGAAUAUUGCACAAUGGGCGAAAGCCUGAUGCAGCGACGCCGCGUGAGCGAAGAAGUAUUUCGGUAUGUAAAGCUCUAUCAGCAGGGAAGAUAAUGACGGUACCUGACUAAGAAGCACCGGCUAAAUACGUG
RNAcentral lists this ribosomal RNA (480 nucleotides) under uncultured bacterium. RNAcentral's name for it is "partial 16S ribosomal RNA". It matches the Rfam family "Bacterial small subunit ribosomal RNA", at positions 29 to 507 of the family's 1533-position model. The record is from RNAcentral.